GCACGGGUGAGUAACGCGUGGGAAUCUACCCAGCAGUACGGAAUAACUCCGGGAAACCGGGGCUAAUACCGUAUACGCCCUUCGGGGGAAAGAUUUAUCGCUGUUGGAUGAGCCCGCGUCGGAUUAGCUUGUUGGUGAGGUAACGGCUCACCAAGGCUGCGAUCCGUAGCUGGUCUGAGAGGAUGAUCAGCCACACUGGGACUGAGACACGGCCCAGACUCCUACGGGAGGCAGCAGUGGGGAAUAUUGGACAAUGGGCGCAAGCCUGAUCCAGCCAUGCCGCGUGAGUGAAGAAGGCCCUAGGGUUGUAAAGCUCUUUCAGCGGGGAAGAUAAUGACGGUACCCGCAGAAGAAGCCCCGGCCAACUCCGUGCCAGCAGCCGCGGUAAGACGGAGGGGGCUAGCGUUGUUCGGAAUUACUGGGCGUAAAGCGCGCGUAGGCGGCAUUUCAAGUUGGGUGUGAAAGCCCGGGGCUCAACCCCGGAACUGCACUCAAAACUGGAAAGCUAGAGUCCGGGAGAGGUGAGUGGAACUCCCGGUGUAGAGGUGAAAUUCGUAUAUAUUGGGAAGAACACCAGUGGCGAAGGCGGCCACCUGGACG
Molecule: ribosomal RNA, 600 nt
Filed under: uncultured Alphaproteobacteria bacterium
Lineage: Bacteria; Pseudomonadati; Pseudomonadota; Alphaproteobacteria
Description: bacterial SSU rRNA
Rfam family: Bacterial small subunit ribosomal RNA
Source: RNAcentral